This 423-nucleotide ribosomal RNA is filed under the name Triticum aestivum (bread wheat). RNAcentral's name for it is "partial small subunit ribosomal RNA". Lineage: Eukaryota; Viridiplantae; Streptophyta; Magnoliopsida; Poales; Poaceae. The record is from RNAcentral.
AUGAUUGCUCUUAUUGGUAUGGUUCCUACCGAGGAGGAGGGAGAAGAGCCGAAGAAGAAGGAAAGGAAAGCAGCCGGAGCUGCUUUCACAUGGAUUCAAGAAAACUUUGCGCAUUGCCCUGCGGAUGCCACUGAUGAUGUGAUACAGACACAUGCUCGUGUCUAUAUGUGGUACGUUGUCUCGAGGACUUUGUUUCCUGACUCCACGGGCAAGAACGCUCCAUGGAUGUGGCUGAAGGCGUUGACCGUCUUCGAUAGCAAAUGGAGCUGGGGUUCAGCAACUCUUGCGUACUUGUACCGACAGGUAGUUGGUUUGUUUUGUUAUCAACUCAUUUGUUCAUUACCAAUGCAACCUUGCUGUCAACUGAACAUUGUUUUUCUUUCAUAUGCAGCUGGACGAUGCGUGUUGCAGGAUCACAGAUAG